Molecule: ribosomal RNA, 254 nt
Filed under: uncultured bacterium
Lineage: Bacteria
Description: partial 16S ribosomal RNA
Rfam family: Bacterial small subunit ribosomal RNA
Source: RNAcentral
GACGAACCGUGCGAACGUUAUUCGGAAUCACUGGGCUUAAAGCGCGUGUAGGCGGAUGGGGACGUCGGUUGCUGAAAUCCCCCGGCUCAACCGGGGAACGGGCGCCGAAACGCCUCGUCUGGAGGGACGUAGGGGGACCUGGAACUUCCGGUGGAGCGGUGAAAUGCGCAGAGAUCGGAAAGAACACCAACGGCGAAAGCACUCUGCUGGGCCGACACUGACACUGAGAGACGAAAGCUAGGGGAGCGAAUGGG